AACCACAGCACCCAGGAUUCCCGCGUGGUCCCCC
This 34-nucleotide ribosomal RNA is filed under the name Armillaria sp. Lineage: Eukaryota; Fungi; Basidiomycota; Agaricomycetes; Agaricales; Physalacriaceae. The record is from RNAcentral.